RNAcentral lists this unclassified non-coding RNA (305 nucleotides) under plant metagenome. Its description in RNAcentral is "partial contains 5.8S ribosomal RNA, internal transcribed spacer 2, and large subunit ribosomal RNA". The stretch from base 1 to 105 matches the Rfam family "5.8S ribosomal RNA", at positions 50 to 154 of the family's 154-position model. The record is from RNAcentral.
GAAAUGCGAUAAGUAGUGUGAAUUGCAGAAUUCAGUGAAUCAUCGAAUCUUUGAACGCACAUUGCGCCCCUUGGUAUUCCAUGGGGCAUGCCUGUUCGAGCGUCAUCUACACCCUCAAGCUCUGCUUGGUGUUGGGCGUCUGUCCCGCCCCCGCGCGUGGACUCGCCCCAAAUCCAUUGGCAGCGUUCCUUGCCCCCUCUCGCGCAGCACAUUGCGCUGCUCGAGGGCGGCUCCGGGACGCGAUCCAGCAAGAUGACCACCGUCUUUGACCUCGGAUCAGGUAGGGAUACCCGCUGAACUUAAGC